UGGGGAAUAUUGCACAAUGGGCGAAAGCCUGAUGCAGCAACGCCGCGUGAGCGAUGAAGGCCUUCGGGUCGUAAAGCUCUGUCCUCAAGGAAGAUAAUGACGGUACUUGAGGAGGAAGCCCCGGCUAACUACGUGCCAGCAGCCGCGGUAACACGUAGGGGGCUAGCGUUAUCCGGAAUUACUGGGCGUAAAGGGUGCGUAGGCGGUCUUUCAAGUCAGGAGUGAAAGGCUACGGCUCAACCGUAGUAAGCUCUUGAAACUGUAAGACUUGAGUGCAGGAGAGGAGAGUGGAAUUCCUAGUGUAGCGGUGAAAUGCGUAGAUAUUAGGAGGAACACCAGCGGCGCAGGCGGCUCACUAGACAGUUUCUGACGCUAAGAUACGAAAGCGUGGGGAGCAAACA
This 401-nucleotide ribosomal RNA is filed under the name uncultured prokaryote. RNAcentral describes it as "bacterial SSU rRNA". It matches the Rfam family "Bacterial small subunit ribosomal RNA", at positions 355 to 774 of the family's 1533-position model. The record is from RNAcentral.